Molecule: long non-coding RNA, 442 nt
Organism: Symphalangus syndactylus (siamang)
Lineage: Eukaryota; Metazoa; Chordata; Mammalia; Primates; Hylobatidae
Source: RefSeq, a predicted model, not a curated record
AAGAGUGCUGGGGCGGUCAGAUCACGUUUCACAUCACAUCAGAGCUGUGGAAUUUCCUCUCUUCUAGGGGGAGCCCUGUGAAGAUGAAGUUGGUUUAAGCCUUGGUGAGCAAUGAAGAUUUUGAACACAGCACAGAUAUAUCUGAAGAAGGUGAACUGUAUGGGAUGCUGGGUGAAUGGAAGUGAAGGAGUUUACAAGUGGGGUUCCAGUUUAGACAAGAUUUCAGUAUGUCGCCCAGGCUAGUCUCAAACUCCUUGCCUCAAGCAAUCCUCCCACCUCAGCCUCCCAAAGCACUGGGAUCACAGGCAUGAGCCACCGUGGCCAGCCCUGGCCCUGGGACAUUUUAUAUAAAUAUGCUAAUAUGUGAUACAUGUCUUUUUACGGUGAAAUUAUUCUUAAGGUUUUUGGAGAGAAAAUGUAUAAAGGCUUUAACUAUAUAAAG